CAACUAAUGCAACGUGGUGAACACGCGUCUUUUCAGCGCUGUCUUGCGAGUGAAGCGUGUAGUUAUCUUAUUGGCGAGUGUUCAUCAGUCUCGGGUACCUGGACACUGGGGAAAACAUCGAUCUCAGCCACACGUGUAUAAAGCAGGGUUGUGGGAUAAUGACCACACUUUUUUCUCCGUCAUCAAGUCAGCUUCAGAAUGGGUGUAUGUCCAACAACAACAACACAUAGGUAGUAUAGAACACGGAGAUAUAGUAUUCAUUUGUAUUUCUAACAGUAGUUAGGAUGGUAGCAUUCUUUUUUUUUCUUUUUGUCUCUUAUAGUUGUGCUAAUUGGGAAGAAAACUCAAUGCAUCAAGUUCAAGGGACCAAUAUUGGGGGGAGCACAGAGAACCAGUGUGGGAAAGUACCUUUGUAACCGUAGUUAUUACCCAAUAAUACCCAACCCUAUUUGGACAUUUCUAGAGGCAAAAUAGCCACUAGCUUUGAUGGAGCUAUCUGUAACAUUUAUGUUUGCAGUGUUUCUAUUGUUUGCACAUUUAUAAAACAGCUCAUAUGAAUAGUUUUAUACACUGUCAGUGUUGGAUAGAUGCAUGGCUGGCUAUGUACAUUAGCCAAAGCUGAUCUUGUAACCCUGAAAAGAAGC
This is a long non-coding RNA of Clupea harengus (Atlantic herring), 644 nucleotides long. Lineage: Eukaryota; Metazoa; Chordata; Actinopteri; Clupeiformes; Clupeidae. The record is from Ensembl.